Molecule: ribosomal RNA, 468 nt
Filed under: uncultured bacterium
Lineage: Bacteria
Description: partial 16S ribosomal RNA
Rfam family: Bacterial small subunit ribosomal RNA
Source: RNAcentral
GACGAACGCUGGCGGCGUGCUUAACACAUGCAAGUCGAACGGAAAGGCCCGGCUUUUGUUGGGUGCUCGAGUGGCGAACGGGUGAGUAACACGUGAGUAACCUGCCCUUGACUUUGGGAUAACUUCAGGAAACUGGGGCUAAUACCGGAUAGGAGCUCCUGCUGCAUGGUGGGGGUUGGAAAGUUUCGGUGGUUGGGGAUGGACUCGCGGCUGAUCAGCUUGUUGGUGGGGUAGUGGCUUACCAAGGCUUUGACGGCUAGCCGGCCUGGGAGGGUGACCGGCCACAUUGGGACUGAGAUACGGCCCAGACUCAUACGGGAGGAAGCAGUGGGGAAUAGUGCACAAUGGGCGGAAGCAUGAUGCAGCAACGCCGCGUGCGGGAUGACGGCCUUCGGGUUGUAAACAGCUUUCGACUGUGACGAAGCGUGAGUGACGGUAAUGGGUAAAGAAGCACCGGCUAACUACGUG